UGUGUAUCAGUACAUGGCAUAUCAAUAAGCGGAGGAAAAGAAACUAACAAGGAUUCCAUUAGUAACGGCGAGUGAAGCGGGAGGAGCUCAAAUUUGAAAUCUUCAAGGUUUUACCUUGACGAAUUGUAGUUUAAAGAAGUGUUUUCUGUUGAAGUUUUGGUAAAAGUUCUUUGGAAUAGGACAUCAUAGAGGGUGAGAAUCCCGUAUUUGACCAUUAUUUUCAGCUGUGUGAUACACUUUCAAAGAGUCGGAUUGUUUGGGAAUGCAGUCCAAAAUGGGUGGUAAAUUUCAUCUAAGGCUAAAUAUUGGCGAGAGACCGAUAGCGAACAAGUACCGUGAGGGAAAGAUGAAAAGAACUUUGAAAAGAGAGUUAAACAGUACGUGAAAUUGUCAAAAGGGAAGCGUUUGACACCAGUGUUGUUUUCUCGAAAAUCAAUUAAAAAAGGCCGGAUUUUGUGUUGUAUUGACCUUAAAAGCUUUCUUCACUCUUUUCUUGUCUUUUUUAAUGCACUUUUCGUUUAACAAGUCAACAUCAGUUUCUUUUGUUGUAAAAGGGUCAUUGGAAGGUGGCUUUCUUUUCGGAGAAAGUGUUUAUAGCCUUUGAUCUCUGCAACCGGAGAGACUGAGGUCUGCAGCGUAGACUCUUCGGGGUUAGAUACAUUUGUGCUAAGCUAUAGCUUUUUAUAGACAACUUGUUGACUAUAUUUAGUCUUGUGGCUUACUCGCUUAUGCUAUUUUACCUACGCUUAGGAUGUUGACAGCAGUAUAGACUGU
This 774-nucleotide ribosomal RNA is filed under the name uncultured Neocallimastigales. Its description in RNAcentral is "partial large subunit ribosomal RNA". It matches the Rfam family "Eukaryotic large subunit ribosomal RNA", at positions 22 to 632 of the family's 3401-position model. The record is from RNAcentral. Lineage: Eukaryota; Fungi; Neocallimastigomycota; Neocallimastigomycetes; Neocallimastigales.